UUGAACGCUGGCGGCAUGCCUUACACAUGCAAGUCGAGCGGCAGCGCGGGGGCAACCCUGGCGGCGAGCGGCGAACGGGUGAGUAAUACAUCGGAACGUACCCAGUUGUGGGGGAUAGCCCGGCGAAAGCCGGAUUAAUACCGCAUAAGUCCUGAGGGUGAAAGCGGGGGAUCGCAAGACCUCGCGCGAUAGGAGCGGCCGAUAUCGGAUUAGCUUGUUGGUGAGGUAAAGGCUCACCAAGGCGACGAUCCGUAGCUGGUCUGAGAGGACGACCAGCCACACUGGGACUGAGACACGGCCCAGACUCCUACGGGAGGCAGCAGUGGGGAAUUUUGGACAAUGGGGGCAACCCUGAUCCAGCCAUUCCGCGUGAGUGAAGAAGGCCUUCGGGUUGUAAAGCUCUUUCAGCAGGAGCGAAACGGUCGUUUUUAAUACAGACGGCUAAUGACGGUACCUGCAGAAGAAGCACCGGCUAACUACGU
This 482-nucleotide ribosomal RNA is filed under the name uncultured bacterium. Its description in RNAcentral is "bacterial SSU rRNA". It matches the Rfam family "Bacterial small subunit ribosomal RNA", at positions 29 to 506 of the family's 1533-position model. The record is from RNAcentral.